UGCUGUGUAGGGAGAGCAGAUUGUGACAGUAUGAUAGCUGUGAAAUAAAAAGGGCAAUUGAAACUUUAUUAAAGCAAUUCUUCUUAUUUAUUAAAGCAAUUCAUAUUAUUUUAAUUGGUUAUGUAUUAAAACAUCUUUAUUUAUAUAGUUACUGAUGCAACAAAAUUAUGCAUAUGAAUAUCUUUGUACAAACAGAAUUACAUCAGAAAUUGAAAAAAUUGAUAAAUUUACAGAAAAAUGGUUACAUUUACAGAAGAAGGAAAUUCAUUUGGACUCACAUGCUGUAACACUGACUCCGAUACGAAGAUUUCUCAACGAAAAAAUUCAGCACCAAGAGAGGGGGAAAAAGAACACAAAGGCUCAGCUCACCGCUACCACCCCUGCGCUGACUCGGGAGGGGCGAAGAUGAACACACGCUGUCCUCCGAAGCAUGUGCCGUCAGUCACCCGCUUCUUUACACACUGCAAACUCACCGUGCAGCCGCCUCAGAGCUACAGGCAAGCCCGCAGGCGCCCGGCCAGACUACAGGGGUCGCUGGUGCGCGAUGAGCCGAGAACACCCUGGCCGACCUAACCCUCCCUCCCCCCGGGCGACGCUCGGCCACUUGAGCGCCGCCCCCUGGAAGCUCCCGUCCACGGUCGGCUGUGGAAUAGCCUGGACUCGAACUUGCGACGUCCAGGCUAUAGAGCGCAUCCUGCACUCUAGCGAGUGCUUUUACUGGAUGCGCCACUUGGGAGCCCCCCCAGCUUUGGAAUCUAAGCUAAAAUUGAUGAACAAAUGUCCGUUAUGUACCAGGUGUGGCAAAUCAAUUGGUAAUUUGUGUUAUGUGCCCAUGAACUAACACUUUACUUAACUGUAAUUACCUGUUAAACUCAGUCUAUUUAAAUUGAGGGAUUGAAGCUGUGUAUACAUACUGAUGAAGGCUGAAACAUGUUUGUGACUUUCCUUAUGGAUUAGAACUUUAUUCUGUUUGUUCUUCAGAAAAUUAAGCUGUGAAAUGAAGAUAAAUAAUGAAAAUUACUUUUUGAAUUAAUUAGUUUUUUAUCUGAUGAGUGCGGACCUUCGUAACGUUGCUUUGAACAGAGUUAAUGAAACAAAUGGCCUUUUUUACAUUCCCUGAACAGCCUCCAAUUACACUUUGUGUUUGCGCUUUUCCUGAACUGUCGGUGUAGAUUUUAUAGCCCAUUCCUCACUGUUUUUUCUUUCCACAAGCUAAUAAUACCAGAUCUUUCUCCCUGAUGUAUUAUUGUAGCUAAUAAAGUAUUGCUUUCC
This is a long non-coding RNA of Acipenser ruthenus (sterlet), 1272 nucleotides long. RefSeq lists it as uncharacterized. The transcript has 3 exons. The record is from RefSeq and is a predicted model, not a curated record. NCBI's taxonomy places the organism in Eukaryota, Metazoa, Chordata, Actinopteri, Acipenseriformes, Acipenseridae.